AUAGAGACUCAGAGCUGCAUAUCAAUAAGCGGAGGAAAAGAAACUAACUAGGAUUCCCUUAGUAACGGCGAGUGAAGCGGGAAGAGCUCAAAUUUGAAAUCUUCAAGGUUUUACCUUGACGAAUUGUAGUUUAAAGAAGUGUUUUCUGUUGGAGUUUUGGUAAAAGUUCUUUGGAAUAGGACAUCAUAGAGGGUGAGAAUCCCGUAUUUGACCAUUAUCUCCAGCUUUGUGAUACACUUUCAAAGAGUCGGAUUGUUUGGGAAUGCAGUCCAAAAUGGGUGGUAAAUUUCAUCUAAAGCUAAAUAUUGGCGAGAGACCGAUAGCGAACAAGUACCGUGAGGGAAAGAUGAAAAGAACUUUAAAAGAGAGUUAAACAGUACGUGAAAUUGUCAAAAGGGAAGCGUUUGACACCAGUGUUGUUUUCUCGAAAAUCAAUUACAAAUGGCUGGAUUUUGUGUUGUAUUGACCUUAUCAGCUUUCUGCACUUUUUUCAUGUCUUUUUUAAUGCACUUUUCGUUUAACAAGUCAACAUCAAUUUCUUUUGUUGUAAAAGGUCAUUGGAAGGUGGCUUUCUUUUCGGAGAAAGUGUUUAUAGCCUUUGGCCUCUGCAAUCGGAGAGAUUGAGGUCUGCAGCGUAGAUCCUUCGGGGUUAGAUACAUUUGUGCUAAGUUAUAGCCUUUCAUAGACAACUUGUUGACUAUGAUCAGUCAUGUAGCUUACUCGCUUAUGCUAUUUUACCUACGCUUAGGAUGUUGACGAUCAGCUGAGCGCG
This 772-nucleotide ribosomal RNA is filed under the name uncultured Neocallimastigales. Its description in RNAcentral is "partial large subunit ribosomal RNA". It matches the Rfam family "Eukaryotic large subunit ribosomal RNA", at positions 23 to 627 of the family's 3401-position model. Lineage: Eukaryota; Fungi; Neocallimastigomycota; Neocallimastigomycetes; Neocallimastigales. The record is from RNAcentral.